UACGGAAGGCAGCGAGUGGGGAAUAUUGCACAAUGGGCGAAAGCCUGAUGCAGCUAUGCCGCGUGUAUGAAGAAGGCCUUAGGGUUGUAAAGUACUUUCAUCGGGGAGGAAAAACAAAACUAAUAAUUUUAUUUCUUGACGUUACCCGAAAAAGAAGCACCGGCUAACUCCGUGCCAGCAGCCGCGGUAAUACGGAGGGUGCUAGCGUUAAUCAGAAUUACUGGGCGUAAAGAGCACGUAGGUGGUUUUUUUAAGUCAGAUGUGAAAUCCCUGGGCUUAACCUAGGAACUGCAUUUUGAAACUGAAAUACUAGAGUAUCGUAGAGGGAGGUAGAAUUCUAGGUGUAGCGGUGAAAUGCGUAGAUAUCUGGAGGAAUACCUGUGGCGAAAGCGGCCUCCUAAACGAAUACUGACACUGAGGUGCGAAAGCGUGGGGAGCAAACAGGGAUUAGAUACC
Molecule: ribosomal RNA, 456 nt
Filed under: uncultured bacterium
Lineage: Bacteria
Description: bacterial SSU rRNA
Rfam family: Bacterial small subunit ribosomal RNA
Source: RNAcentral